RNAcentral lists this ribosomal RNA (467 nucleotides) under uncultured bacterium. Its description in RNAcentral is "partial 16S ribosomal RNA". It matches the Rfam family "Bacterial small subunit ribosomal RNA", at positions 28 to 507 of the family's 1533-position model. The record is from RNAcentral.
GACGAACGCUGGCGGCGUGCUUAACACAUGCAAGUCGAACGGAAAGGCCCUGCUUUUGUGGGGUGCUCGAGUGGCGAACGGGUGAGUAACACGUGAGUAACCUGCCCUUGACUUUGGGAUAACUUCAGGAAACUGGGGCUAAUACCGGAUAGGAGCUCCUGCUGCAUGGUGGGGGUUGGAAAGUUUCGGCGGUUGGGGAUGGACUCGCGGCUUAUCAGCUUGUUGGUGGGGUAGUGGCUUACCAAGGCUUUGACGGGUAGCCGGCCUGAGAGGGUGACCGGCAAAAUGGGAAUGGGGAACGGCCCAAAAUUCUAAGGGAAGCAAGAGGUGGGAAUAUUGCACAAUGGGCGGAAGCCUGAUGCAGCAACGCCGCGUGCGGGAUGACGGCCUUCGGGUUGUAAACCGCUUUCGCCUGUGACGAAGCGUGAGUGACGGUAAUGGGUAAAGAAGCACCGGCUAACUACGUG